GACGAACGCUGGCGGCGUGCUUAACACAUGCAAGUCGAACGGAAAGGCCCCCUUGUGGGGUACUCGAGUGGCGAACGGGUGAGUAACACGUGAGUAACUUACCCUUGACUUUGGGAUAACUUCAGGAAACUGGGGCUAAUACCGGAUAGGAGCUCCUGCUGCAUGGUGGGGGUUGGAAAGUUUCGGCGGUUGGGGAUGGACUCGCGGCUUAUCAGCUUGUUGGUGGGGUAGUGGCUCACCAAGGCUUUGACGGGUAGCCGGCCUGAGAGGGUGACCGGCCACAUUGGGACUGAGAUACGGCCCAGACUCCUACGGGAGGCAGCAGUGGGGAAUAUUGCACAAUGGGCGGAAGCCUGAUGCAGCAACGCCGCGUGCGGGAUGACGGCCUUCGGGUUGUAAACCGCUUUCGCCUGUGACGAAGCGUGAGUGACGGUAAUGGGUAAAGAAGCACCGGCUAACUACGUG
This 465-nucleotide ribosomal RNA is filed under the name uncultured bacterium. Its description in RNAcentral is "partial 16S ribosomal RNA". It matches the Rfam family "Bacterial small subunit ribosomal RNA", at positions 28 to 507 of the family's 1533-position model. The record is from RNAcentral.